RNAcentral lists this long non-coding RNA (1304 nucleotides) under Sus scrofa (pig). RNAcentral's name for it is "lncRNA (ENSSSCG00030067751.1)". Lineage: Eukaryota; Metazoa; Chordata; Mammalia; Artiodactyla; Suidae. The record is from RNAcentral.
AAGCUUCACUUUGCUCAUCUGCAAAAUAGCAAUGGUAAACCUAUUUAUCAUGAGGUACCUCGAAACUCCUGUUAGUACAUGUAAAAUUCUUAGAACACUGCCUGGCUUGGACUCAGCCAUGAGUACAGUGUUCACAUACUAUUGUUUUGUUUCAUUGGCUUUAGAGUGAUAGGCAAUGUAACCCCUAUACAGGCUUCAUUCUUUUUUUCUCUCCUCUCAAGUGAGACAUCAUGGUCUCAAUUGGUACCACUUGCCAUCUGCACACUUAGUAAGUUACUUAUAUUAUUUGUGAGGGCCUCCUGUGUCCCAAGAAUUCAAGUACUGGAUAAACAGGAUGGACAAGAUCCUGUCCUGUAAGGAAUCUAUAUUCUCUUUGGAGGAGAAAAACAAAAGUUAUAUAAUUAAAUAUAACAAUUUCACGUACUAAAUACUAUCUGAAAAUGAGGAGGCUAGUUUAAUAGAGCUAGUUGCAGGAAAAGGUCACUUUGUAGAGGUGACAUUUGAGUUAAGUAAAUUUUUCAUGAUAAGAAGAAGCAGCCAUCGUAUCAUCUAUAGGAAAAGUGUUUCAAGCAGAAGGAGCAACAAGAGGCAAGACUGAUAUAGGAUGAGCUUGACGCUCUCUGGAGACAGGAUAUGUUAAGCAGGAGGGCAGUGGACAGAACUUGUGUGCACAGCCUCAGACAGCGGAUUGAUUUUCAAAAGAGGCAAGAGGAUUACAAGGUACAGGCCAUUUAAGUUCUUUGGCAACACAUAUUCAUGUUUACAGUAUAGCUUCACAUCAGAACUCCUGGAAGUUAAGUUUAUCAUUUAAAUCCUUGGGUUCUUUUCAUGGGCAUUUGCUAAUUUUCCUUUCGGAAAGGAAAUAAUCCUUUAUUGAAAUAGUCUGUCCUUUCAUGGGAAGCAGCUUGGUAGUGGAAAAAGAAUGGACUUUAUCUUCAGACAAACUUCAGCUCAAAUGGACUUUGGGUGAGGGUGGGGAGGAACAAAGCAGGCAUGGGGAUGGAGAACCCUAUCCUGCUACACACCAUGGAUGCCCAUAGACUGGGACCUGGAGCAGUGGUUCUGAGACUCACGAGGAGGUGAGUGAGGACUUGGAAGUCUGCCUCUGAGUGGUGGAUGAGGCUUACUGUGUUAAGAGAGAACAUAUAUGGGGGCCACUAUGGGCAGUAGUCAGGGAUUGUAAUGACACAGCCUCCCUCCACCUUACCAAUCUGUGCAUCUGGGCUUUCUUUGUAGAUGAUGGAACUGGCCAAGCUCUUAUCUACAGUGAGUGUCCUUUCUGCCUUUUAAAAUUCUUGGAUUUC